This 526-nucleotide unclassified non-coding RNA is filed under the name Hevea brasiliensis (rubber tree). The record is from RNAcentral. Lineage: Eukaryota; Viridiplantae; Streptophyta; Magnoliopsida; Malpighiales; Euphorbiaceae.
AAUGCAAAGCCUACCAAAAAAUUAUAACAACCUUUAUCAAACAAGGAGGAAGACGAGGAUGAGCAAUCACAAAGUGAACUAGAAAAGCAACAACCAAAGAAGAAGUGGAAAAGACUAGCAAGGGGUCAAAAUAGCGGUGCGACAGGAAUAGUCAUUCAUGAGAUAACAAGAGAUAGCAAUGCUAGUGUGGGUUUGGAGGAGACUGGAAAAAGAGGAAGGGAAAAGAAUGGUGAUGCCCUAGGUAAUAAGAAGACUUGCAACUCUGAUCAAACUUCUGAAUUGGUGGUGGUAGCCAGCCAAAAAUGGUCCAAAUAGAAAAAUGAGACUCAUUAGCCGGAACUGUCAGGGUGUGGGAACCCCUAACUUUCCACUAUUUAAAAGGUAUGUGUAAAUCACAUUCCUUAGAUAUAGUUUUCCUUAUGGAGACUAAAAAUAAGUCUACAGCUAUUAGGGAAAAGAUGAAUGGGUGUGGGUUUUUUGAUAUGCAAUGUAUUGGGCCUAAGGGCCUGGUGGGGGGACUAUGUGU